Molecule: ribosomal RNA, 253 nt
Filed under: uncultured bacterium
Lineage: Bacteria
Description: partial 16S ribosomal RNA
Rfam family: Bacterial small subunit ribosomal RNA
Source: RNAcentral
UACAGAGGUCCCAAGCGUUGUUCGGAUUCAUUGGGCGUAAAGGGCGCGUAGGCGGCACAGCAAGUCGGGAGUGAAAGCCCGGGGCUCAACCCCGGAAUGGCUUUCGAAACUGCUGAGCUAGAGUACAGAAGGGGCAACCGGAAUUCCCAGUGUAGCGGUGAAAUGCGUAGAUAUUGGGAAGAACACCUGAGGCGAAGGCGGGUUGCUGGGCUGAUACUGACGCUGAGGCGCGAAAGCCAGGGGAGCAAACGGG